UAGGGAAUCUUCGGCAAUGGGGGCAACCCUGACCGAGCAACGCCGCGUGAGUGAAGAAGGUUUUCGGAUCGUAAAGCUCUGUUGUAAGAGAAGAACGUGUGUGAGAGUGGAAAGUUCACACAGUGACGGUAACUUACCAGAAAGGGACGGCUAACUACGUGCCAGCAGCCGCGGUAAUACGUAGGUCCCGAGCGUUGUCCGGAUUUAUUGGGCGUAAAGCGAGCGCAGGCGGUUUAAUAAGUCUGAAGUUAAAGGCAGUGGCUUAACCAUUGUUCGCUUUGGAAACUGUUAAACUUGAGUGCAGAAGGGGAGAGUGGAAUUCCAUGUGGAGCGGUGAAAUGCGUAGAUAUAUGGAGGAACACCGGUGGCGAAAGCGGCUCUCUGGUCUGUAACUGACGCUGAGGCUCGAAAGCGUGGGGAGCAAACAGG
This 429-nucleotide ribosomal RNA is filed under the name bacterium. Its description in RNAcentral is "partial 16S ribosomal RNA". It matches the Rfam family "Bacterial small subunit ribosomal RNA", at positions 355 to 776 of the family's 1533-position model. The record is from RNAcentral.